Molecule: ribosomal RNA, 237 nt
Filed under: uncultured bacterium
Lineage: Bacteria
Description: partial 16S ribosomal RNA
Rfam family: Bacterial small subunit ribosomal RNA
Source: RNAcentral
GAUCAUGGCUCAGGAUAAACGCUGGCGGCGCACAUAAGACAUGCAAGUCGAACGGACUUAACCAUUAGUUUACUAUUGGAGCGGUUAGUGGCGGACUGGUGAGUAACACGUAAGCAACCUGCCUAUCAGAGGGGAACAACAGUUAGAAAUGACUGCUAAUACCGCAUAUGCCUAAGUACUACAUGGUACAAUAGGGAAAGGAGCAAUCCGCUGAUAGAUGGGCUUGCGUCUGGUUAG